Molecule: unclassified non-coding RNA, 20 nt
Filed under: Mus musculus (house mouse)
Lineage: Eukaryota; Metazoa; Chordata; Mammalia; Rodentia; Muridae
Description: oocyte_clustered_small_RNA5212
Source: RNAcentral
UGACACUGGCAAAGAAUGAG